RNAcentral lists this ribosomal RNA (209 nucleotides) under uncultured bacterium. Its description in RNAcentral is "partial 16S ribosomal RNA". It matches the Rfam family "Bacterial small subunit ribosomal RNA", at positions 568 to 774 of the family's 1533-position model. The record is from RNAcentral.
UGCGUAGGCGGCGCGGUAAGUCGGGUGUGAAAUCUCGGAGCUUAACUCCGAAACUGCAUUCGAUACUGCCGUGCUUGAGGACUGGAGAGGAGACUGGAAUUUACGGUGUAGCGGUGAAAUGCGUAGAUAUCGUAAGGAAGACCAGUGGCGAAGGCGGGUCUCUGGACAGUUCCUGACGCUGAGGCAUGAAGGGUCAGGGGAGGCAAACG